CAGUCGAACGGACUCAUAUUGAAACCUAGUGAUUUAUGAGUUAGUGGCGGACGGGUGAGUAACGCGUGGAUAACCUGCCGUAUACCGGGGGAUAACACUUAGAAAUAGGUGCUAAUACCGCAUAAGCGCACGGCUCCGCAUGGGGCAGUGUGAAAAACUCCGGUGGUAUACGAUGGAUCCGCGUCUGAUUAGCUAGUUGGCGGGGUAACGGCCCACCAAGGCAGCGAUCAGUAGCCGGCCUGAGAGGGUGGACGGCCACAUUGGGACUGAGACACGGCCCAGACUCCUGCGGGAGGCAGCAGUGGGGAAUAUUGCACAAUGGGGGGAACCCUGAUGCAGCAAUGCCGCGUGGGUGAAGAAGCACUCCGGUGCGUAAAGCCCUGUCAGCAGGGAAGAAAAUGACAGUACCUGGACAAGAAGCCCCGGCUAACUACGUGCCAGCAGCCGCGGUAAUACGUAGGGGGCAAGCGUUAUCCGGAUUUACUGGGUGUAAAGGGAGCGCAGGCGGCGUGGCAAGUCAGAUGUGAAAACCCGGGGCCCAACCCCGGGAGUGCAUUUGAAACUGCCAAGCUGGAGUGCCGGAGAGGUAAGCGGAAUUCCUAGUGUAGCGGUGAAAUGCGUAGAUAUUAGGAGGAACACCAGUGGCGAAGGCGGCUUACUGGACAGUAACUGACGUUGAGGCUCGAAAGCGUGGGGA
Molecule: ribosomal RNA, 697 nt
Filed under: uncultured bacterium
Lineage: Bacteria
Description: bacterial SSU rRNA
Rfam family: Bacterial small subunit ribosomal RNA
Source: RNAcentral